AACGAACGCUGGCGGCAUGCCUAACACAUGCAAGUCGAACGAAACCUUCCUGUCUAGUUGCGCACGUGGGCGUAACGCGGGGGAACCUGCACUUAGGUUCGGCAUAACUCCCCGUAAGGGGUGCUAAUGCCGGCGAAUGUCUUCUCACAAAAGAUUUUUCGCCUUUGGAUGGGCCCUCGUUGGAUUAGCUAGUUGGUAGGGUAAAAGCCUAUCAAUGCGAGGAUCCAUAGCUGGUGUGAGAGCCGGGUCAGCCACACUGGGACUAAGGCACGGCCCAGACUGGUACGGGAGGCAGGAGAGGGGAAUAUUGGACAGUGAAGGAAAGUGAAGGACAGCAGUGCCGGGUGAGUGAUGAAGGCCUUAGGGUUGUAAAGCGCUUUUAACCGAGACGAUAAUGACGGUACCGGGUGAAUAAGCACCGGCUAACUCCGUG
RNAcentral lists this ribosomal RNA (433 nucleotides) under uncultured bacterium. RNAcentral describes it as "partial 16S ribosomal RNA". It matches the Rfam family "Bacterial small subunit ribosomal RNA", at positions 29 to 507 of the family's 1533-position model. The record is from RNAcentral.